Lipotes vexillifer (Yangtze River dolphin) is the source of this 72-nucleotide non-coding RNA. The record is from the annotation of a RefSeq genome assembly. NCBI's taxonomy places the organism in Eukaryota, Metazoa, Chordata, Mammalia, Artiodactyla, Lipotidae.
UCCCUGGAGGUCCAGUGGUUAGGACACGGCACUUUCACUGCCAUGGCCCGGGUUCGACCCCUGGUCAGGGAA